GGUAAUUCAACAAUAAAAUCCAUGGACAGGUUAGACCAAGGUCUCUCGGGAACGGGUAACGGAUGCAACAGCCCACAAGGAACUCUACGGGAGGAUUUCAUACAGGCACAAGUAGUACAAGCACUUAUAUAGUCAGUGACAUCCUUUCGUAAGGAAUUCCACCAAAAAUACCGAGAAACAGCUGACACCGUUUUGGAAAUACCAGGAUGUCCAGCAGUCUUAGUAUCAUGAUAUAAUGACAUAAUAUCCCGUCUCUCAGGAACAUCAACGAACAGUUU
RNAcentral lists this long non-coding RNA (278 nucleotides) under Pelobates cultripes (western spadefoot toad). The record is from RNAcentral. Lineage: Eukaryota; Metazoa; Chordata; Amphibia; Anura; Pelobatidae.